CAAUAGCUCAGUUGGUAGAGCUCCCGCCUUGUAAGCGGAAGGUCACCGGUUCGAGUCCGGUUCG
This 64-nucleotide transfer RNA is filed under the name human gut metagenome. It matches the Rfam family "tRNA", at positions 7 to 64 of the family's 71-position model. From Rfam's summary of the family: Transfer RNA (tRNA) molecules are approximately 80 nucleotides in length. The record is from RNAcentral. RNAcentral also lists the same sequence under 1 other name.